UUGCCUUUGUUUGUUGUGAUGUAUCAUCAGAGUUCUGUAAAUCGGAAUAACUUUGAGACAAGGCAGACUUAUUGACAUUUACAGCUUCUAUAGCUAUUGAGUUGGUCACACUGCCUUGUUUAACUAUCUCAGACUUUUGACAGUUAUCUUGUCGAAGUAAGUUCUGCGCAAUAUCAUCCUCUGAAGGAUUUACUGUUAUUUGAAUGACAGCAUUU
Molecule: long non-coding RNA, 215 nt
Filed under: Nicotiana benthamiana
Lineage: Eukaryota; Viridiplantae; Streptophyta; Magnoliopsida; Solanales; Solanaceae
Description: long non-coding RNA (NBEN_LNC038057)
Source: RNAcentral